CAGCCCUAUAGGAGACACCUCCAGAGAAAGUAACAACUCUCAGUUGAUUAGCUGAGGUAUGUAUGUCAUUUAUGGCAAUACCUGUCUCCAUCCCCUCCGUCUUCUUCUAGGAGACCAAUUUUGUAAAUUGCUACUUUUCUAACAACAGUGGCACAGGUGGCCCAGCAUUCUCCCUUUUCUCAGAGCUGGUUUUCCAUCCUGGAAAGAGGUCUUACAUAUACAAAGUUACUCUAAUCAGUUGUAAGCUUCAGGGGCUGGAUCCUGACAUGAACCAGGCACCUCCAGAAUUCUAUCCCAAGCAAAAGAUUACUUCAAGGCCAGAACUCACUCCCUGCUGGAGACUGACUACAAGAUCCACUGAGAUUGACUUGUAACCUGAUUGGGCCCACAGUGAUGCUAGCCCCUUCACCAGAUGGAACAAUAAUUCCAGACAAGCCAUCAGAGCAGAGAGCAGAGAAGAGGAGAAGCAGCUGGACGUCUCUUGACGUUGGAGAAAAGCAGCUUGACUUCAGAGGGACAGUUUGACAGCAUGGAUUCAGAAAGGAGAAGAUCACCUUCCUGCUCCAUCCCCUUUCCAGCUCCCCUUCCCACUGAGAGCCACUUACACUGGCAAUAAAAUCCUCUGCAUUCACCACCCUU
RNAcentral lists this long non-coding RNA (639 nucleotides) under Pongo abelii (Sumatran orangutan). RNAcentral describes it as "lincRNA". Lineage: Eukaryota; Metazoa; Chordata; Mammalia; Primates; Hominidae. The record is from RNAcentral.